AUGUAAUGCAUGUAGUGCUUUUUACUUUGUUUUAGUCUAUAAGUUGGGACCUAUUCAAACUAUUACAUUGUUGCUCCUCUGUCACCUAUGGUGACUGUUCAUUUUACUUCCCUCCUGGAUAUGGAUAGGUCCUGAUAGCCUAGGACAGGAGUAGGCAACCUUUUAGCAGCACUGUGCCGAUAUAGGAUUGUGAUGUCCCGUAGCGUGUCGAUCCUAUUUUUUUAAAUUGAGGUGUGUAUGCUGCCGUAUUCUGCUUGUGUUAUUUUUACUGUAAUUGCUUUCUAUCUUUAUAUUUGUGCGUAUAUGAGCUAUUAUAUUGUAUAUGUCCAUUAGUAGUUUGUGGUAUCAUGUA
Molecule: non-coding RNA, 352 nt
Organism: Pelobates cultripes (western spadefoot toad)
Lineage: Eukaryota; Metazoa; Chordata; Amphibia; Anura; Pelobatidae
Source: the annotation of a GenBank genome assembly